UACGGAGGAUCCGAGCGCUAUCCGGAUUUAUUGGGUUUAAAGGGAGCGUAGGUGGAUUGUUAAGUCAGUUGUGAAAGUUUGCGGCUCAACCGUAAAAUUGCAGUUGAAACUGGCAGUCUUGAGUACAGUAGAGGUGGGCGGAAUUCGUGGUGUAGCGGUGAAAUGCUUAGAUAUCACGAAGAACUCCGAUUGCGAAGGCAGCUCACUGGACUGCAACUGACACUGAGGCUCGAAAGUGUGGGUAUCAAACAGG
This 253-nucleotide ribosomal RNA is filed under the name uncultured bacterium. Its description in RNAcentral is "partial 16S ribosomal RNA". It matches the Rfam family "Bacterial small subunit ribosomal RNA", at positions 524 to 776 of the family's 1533-position model. The record is from RNAcentral.